RNAcentral lists this ribosomal RNA (274 nucleotides) under uncultured bacterium. Its description in RNAcentral is "partial 16S ribosomal RNA". It matches the Rfam family "Bacterial small subunit ribosomal RNA", at positions 523 to 796 of the family's 1533-position model. The record is from RNAcentral.
AUACGGAGGGUGCAAGCGUUAUCCGGAUUUACUGGGUUUAAAGGGUACGCAGGCGGUAAUUUAAGUCAGUGGUGAAAGCCUACAGCUCAACUGUAGAACUGCCAUAGAAACUGAAUUACUUGAGUAGGGUAGAGGUAGGCGGAAUACAACAUGUAGCGGUGAAAUGCAUAGAUAUGUUGUAGAACACCGAUUGCGAAGGCAGCUUACUAAACCAUUACUGACGCUCAUGUACGAAAGCGUGGGGAGCGAACAGGAUUAGAAACCCUUGUAGUCC